AUUGAACGCUGGCGGCAUGCUUUACACAUGCAAGUCGAACGGUAACAGGUCUUCGGAUGCUGACGAGUGGCGCACGGGUGAGUAAUACAUCGGAACGUGCCUAGUAGUGGGGGAUAACUACUCGAAAGAGUAGCUAAUACCGCAUGAGAUCUACGGAUGAAAGCAGGGGACCUUCGGGCCUUGUGCUACUAGAGCGGCUGAUGGCAGAUUAGGUAGUUGGUGGGGUAAAGGCUUACCAAGCCUGCGAUCUGUAGCUGGUCUGAGAGGACGACCAGCCACACUGGGACUGAGACACGGCCCAGACUCCUACGGGAGGCAGCAGUGGGGAAUUUUGGACAAUGGGCGAAAGCCUGAUCCAGCAAUGCCGCGUGCAGGAUGAAGGCCCUCGGGUUGUAAACUGCUUUUGUACGGAACGAAAAGCCUGGGGCUAAUAUCCCCGGGUCAUGACGGUACCGUAAGAAUAGGCACCGGCUAACUACGUG
Molecule: ribosomal RNA, 482 nt
Filed under: uncultured bacterium
Lineage: Bacteria
Description: partial 16S ribosomal RNA
Rfam family: Bacterial small subunit ribosomal RNA
Source: RNAcentral